UACAGAGGGGGCAAGCGUUAUUCGGAAUUAUUGGGCGUAAAGGGCGCGUAGGCGGCUUUGCAAGUGAGGGGUGAAAGCCCUCGGCUUAACCGAGGAACUGCCUGUCAGACUGUAAGGCUUGAGACCGGGAGAGGUGAGUGGAAUUCCCAGUGUAGCGGUGAAAUGCGUAGAUAUCUGGAGGAACACCGGUGGCGAAGGCGGCGUCCUGGACCAAUACUGACGCUGAGGAGCGAAAGCCAGGGGAGCAAACGGG
RNAcentral lists this ribosomal RNA (253 nucleotides) under uncultured bacterium. Its description in RNAcentral is "partial 16S ribosomal RNA". It matches the Rfam family "Bacterial small subunit ribosomal RNA", at positions 524 to 776 of the family's 1533-position model. The record is from RNAcentral.